UAACCUGCCUGGUAGCGGGGGAUGACUAUUGGAAACGAUAGCUAAUACCGCAUAACAGUCGACAUUGCAUGAUGUUGAUUUGAAAGGGGCAAUUGCUCCACUACCAGAUGGACCUGCGUUGUAUUAGCUAGUUGGUGAGGUAACGGCUCACCAAGGCGACGAUACAUAGCCGACCUGAGAGGGUGAUCGGCCACACUGGGACUGAGACACGGCCCAG
Molecule: ribosomal RNA, 217 nt
Filed under: uncultured bacterium
Lineage: Bacteria
Description: partial 16S ribosomal RNA
Rfam family: Bacterial small subunit ribosomal RNA
Source: RNAcentral